RNAcentral lists this microRNA (21 nucleotides) under Gallus gallus (chicken). Its description in RNAcentral is "gga-miR-1796". Lineage: Eukaryota; Metazoa; Chordata; Aves; Galliformes; Phasianidae. The record is from miRBase by way of RNAcentral.
GAACUGCUGAAGGAGGGCUGA